AUUCCUACGGGAGGCAGCAGCCGCGGUAAUUGCCCAAUGUACAGUGGUACGAGGCAGUGACGAAGCAUCUUGACCUGGCUUCGGCCAGUAUCAAGCUGGGAGAGGCCCCACGACCUCUCGAAUGCAAUUAGUGGGAGAGCAUGGUGCCAGCAGCCGCGGUAAUAAU
This 166-nucleotide ribosomal RNA is filed under the name uncultured eukaryote. RNAcentral describes it as "partial 18S ribosomal RNA". It matches the Rfam family "Eukaryotic small subunit ribosomal RNA", at positions 412 to 586 of the family's 1831-position model. The record is from RNAcentral.